GCAACUGGCAAGUUAGAGUACCGAAGAGGGGGGUGCAUCCCGAUGUAGCGUGAAAUGCGUAGAUAUCGGGAGUACACCUGUGCGAUGGCGGCCUCAUGGUCGGAUACUGACGAUGAGACGCGAAAGCGUGGGAGCAUACAGGAUUAGAUACCUGGUAGUCCACGCUGUAAACGAUGCGCACUAGGUGUCCGGGGUAUUGACCCCCUGGGUGCCGCAGCUAACGCAUUAAGUGCCCCGCGUGGGGAGUACGGUCGCAAGAUUAAAACUCAAAGGAAUUGACGGGGGCCCGCACAAGCGGUGGAGCAUGUGGUUCAAUUUGACGCAACGCGAAGAACCUUACCUGGGCUAGACAACGGUGGACCGUCCUAGAAAUAGGAUUUUCCCUUCGGGGACUGCCGGUCCAGGUGCUGCAUGGCUGUCGUCAGCUCGUGCCGUGAGGUGUUGGGUUAAGUCCCGCAACGAGCGCAACCCUUGUCUUUAGUUGCCACCAUUCAGUUGGGCACUCUAGGGAGACUGCCGGCGUUAAGCCGGAGGAAGGUGGGGACGACGUCAAGUCAUCAUGGCCCUUAUGUCCAGGGCCACACACGUGCUACAAUGGGCGGUACAAAGGGUCGCAAACCCGCGAGGGGGAGCCAAUCCCAAAAAGCCGCUCUCAGUUCGGAUUGGAGUCUGCAACUCGACUCCAUGAAGUUGGAAUCGCUAGUAAUCGCGGAUCAGCACGCCGCGGUGAAUACGUUCCCGGGCCUUGCACACACCGCCCGUCACACCAUGGAAGCCAGCUGUACCGGAAGUCGGUGCGCCAACCCGCAAGGGAGGUAGCCGCCUAUGGUAUGACUGGUGACUGGGGUGAAGUCGUAACAAGGUAACCA
RNAcentral lists this ribosomal RNA (869 nucleotides) under uncultured soil bacterium. Its description in RNAcentral is "SSU rRNA". It matches the Rfam family "Bacterial small subunit ribosomal RNA", at positions 629 to 1502 of the family's 1533-position model. The record is from RNAcentral.